Molecule: non-coding RNA, 291 nt
Organism: Gorilla gorilla gorilla (western lowland gorilla)
Lineage: Eukaryota; Metazoa; Chordata; Mammalia; Primates; Hominidae
Rfam family: Metazoan signal recognition particle RNA
About the family: The signal recognition particle (SRP) is a universally conserved ribonucleoprotein. It is involved in the co-translational targeting of proteins to membranes. The eukaryotic SRP consists of a 300-nucleotide 7S RNA and six proteins: SRPs 72, 68, 54, 19, 14, and 9.
Source: Rfam
GCAGGGCGAGGUGGCACGUGCCUGUAAGUCCCAACUACUCUGGAGGCUGAGGCAGGGGGAUCACUUGAGUCCAGAAGUUCUGGGCUAUAGUGCAGUAUAGUGUCUGCACUAAGUUCGGCAUCAACAUUGUGACCUCCAGAGAGUGGGGGACCACGGUUGCCUAAGGAGUGGUGAACCGGCUCAGGCUGGAAAUGAAACAGGUCAAAACUCCCAUGCUGAUCUGUAGUGGAAUCAUGCCUGUGAAAAGUCACUGCACACCAGCCUGGGCAAUAUGGCGAGACCCUGUCUCUU